GCAAGGAGCUGGAAGGUAAAGCAGCACAAAGGUAAAGUAGAAGGAGCAGAAAUGGUCAGCAAAGAGCUGAAAAUGGCAGGAAGGGACCCUCUGUCCCUUCCUGCCAUUUUCAGCUCCUUGCUGACCCUUUCUGCUCCUUCUACUUUACCUUUGUGCUGCUUUACCUUCCAGCUCCUUGCU
Molecule: non-coding RNA, 180 nt
Organism: Pelobates cultripes (western spadefoot toad)
Lineage: Eukaryota; Metazoa; Chordata; Amphibia; Anura; Pelobatidae
Source: the annotation of a GenBank genome assembly